CGACGGGUGAGUAACGCGUAUCCAACCUUCCCCUAGUAGGGCAUACGCCCGUAGAAAUGCGGAUUAAUACCCUAUGUUGUUCAAUGCGGACAUCUAAGUUGAACCAAAGGUUUACCGCGUAAGGGAUGGGGAUGCGUCCGAUUAGGCAGCAGGCGGGGUAACGGCCCACCUGGCCGACGAUCGGUAGGGGUUCUGAGAGGAAGGUCCCCCACAUUGGAACUGAGACACGGUCCAAACUCCUACGGGAGGCAGCAGUGAGGAAUAUUGGUCAAUGGGCGCGAGCCUGAACCAGCCAAGUAGCGUGCCAGGACGACGGCCCUAUGGGUUGUAAACUGCUUUUAUGCGGGGAUAAAGUGCGGCACGUGUGCCGUUUUGUAGGUACCGCAUGAAUAAGGACCGGCUAAUUCCGUGCCAGCCGCUGC
This 422-nucleotide ribosomal RNA is filed under the name uncultured bacterium. RNAcentral's name for it is "bacterial SSU rRNA". It matches the Rfam family "Bacterial small subunit ribosomal RNA", at positions 100 to 518 of the family's 1533-position model. The record is from RNAcentral.